GCGUAAUAGCUCACUGGUCGAGUCGGCCUGCGCGGAAGAUGUAACGGGGCUAAACCAUGCACCGAAGCUGCGGCAGCGACACUAUGUGUUGUUGGGUAGGGGAGCGUUCUGUAAGCCUGUGAAGGUGGCCUGUGAGGGCUGCUGGAGGUAUCAGAAGUGCGAAUGCUGACAUAAGUAACGAUAAAGCGGGUGAAAAGCCCGCUCGCCGGAAGACCAAGGGUUCCUGUCCAACGUUAAUCGGGGCAGGGUGAGUCGACCCCUAAGGC
RNAcentral lists this ribosomal RNA (266 nucleotides) under Klebsiella quasivariicola. Its description in RNAcentral is "partial 23S ribosomal RNA". It matches the Rfam family "Bacterial large subunit ribosomal RNA", at positions 1132 to 1397 of the family's 2925-position model. The record is from RNAcentral. Lineage: Bacteria; Pseudomonadati; Pseudomonadota; Gammaproteobacteria; Enterobacterales; Enterobacteriaceae.